AGUGAACGCUGGCGGCAUGCCUAAUACAUGCAAGUCGAACGAACGCAUAGUAAGCUUUCUCUUCUAACGGUAGCGGGUGGCGGGUGGGUGAGACGUAGAUAACCAACCUCUUAUACGUGGAGGACAUCGUGAGGCCACAUCUGAUACUACCUAAUAUAUUCUACCGCAUAGUUCAGGGGUUAAUGGCACUUUUCCUGUCACUUUUAGAUGAUGCCGGAUUAGAUAGUUGGCAAGGUAAAGGCACACCAAGGCAACGAUGCGUAGCUGAUCUGAGAGGGUGAUCGGCCACACUGGAACUGAGACACGGUCCAGACUCCUACGGGAGGCAGCAGUAGGGAAUAUUGGGCAAUGGGCGAAAGCCUGAUCGAGCCAUGCCGCGUGAGUGAUGAAGGCCUUCGGAUCGUAAAACCCUGUUAUUAGGGAAGAAAAACAGCGUAAGAAUACCCCGCUGUCCUGACGGUACCCAAAGAGAAAGCACCGGCUAACUACGUG
Molecule: ribosomal RNA, 492 nt
Filed under: uncultured bacterium
Lineage: Bacteria
Description: partial 16S ribosomal RNA
Rfam family: Bacterial small subunit ribosomal RNA
Source: RNAcentral